Molecule: RNA transcript, 2099 nt
Organism: Mytilus californianus (California mussel)
Lineage: Eukaryota; Metazoa; Mollusca; Bivalvia; Mytilida; Mytilidae
Exons: 6
Source: RefSeq, a predicted model, not a curated record
UUGACAAAUAGCUGUUUGAUCAACAGUUUUAUAAGAGUGGAGAUUUAAUUUCAGUCUUGGUUUCAAUCAAAUAUUACAUAAUAUAUUGAGGACGAAAAGGAAAAUACCAUGUAGGAAACUGACUGCAUUUUCCGGAUGCAGUUACUAUAACCAUGACAUCUCGUUUGAAAUUUCGGUGCCUUAUUUAUACACCCUACAACUGGAAAUUGACAGUACGGUUCGACGGGAAUUGAUGAUUACUUACGUCUUUUAUAAGUUAUUUUGGAACGUUAAGCGUGCACCAAUUGAUCAAUCUUUUUUUGUCGAGAGAAUCGCAUUCGUAUCUGUUUAGGAAAUGAUAAAUAUUUGUGAAUUAUUAUAAACAUAAUAACACUGCUGAAAAUAUGAGACGGUAGAAAAGAAGACAAGGGAAACGAAAGGGACAUUCAACCCCUGAAGUAAAAAAAGAACUAACAACGCCAUGGAAAAAAAAAGAAAAAGGAAAAAAAAUAUAUAUAACAGUAUACAAAACACAACAUAGAAAACUAAAAACUGAGAAACACAAGACUCGGGUUCGAUGAUAACGUUAAAAUAAAACGUCACUACAGGCACGAAGAUGGCAAACGAGUUUUGAAAUAUAAGAAGGUGUAAAAGGACUUUCAACAUUGGAAAAAAAGAAUACUAUCAACAAAGGCCGAAAAGAUGUCAGCAGUGUGACUUUCUACCAAAUGUACAAAUUUCCAAUGAGGUCACAAUAAAUCGGACGAUUAAUGUAAAUACAUUUACAUUUAUGUGUACAUCAGACAGUCCUUUCAUGGGAUGUACCGUAGAGUUUCUGGUUAAUAGAUCAACGAUAGACGAUUUAAGGAAUGCAAACAGCACAUGUUAUCACAAAAAUGGUGUGUGUAGACCUGACAUAUGUAGAUGUGCAGCCAAUUGCAAAAGUUUUACCUUGAGUGUCAUAACAUCAACAAACAUGACAAACCAUAUUUUUGGAUGCGGUGGAAAGAUUGAAAAUAGAUCGGUCAACGCUUUCUACAGAGUUAACGCCUCCGUUAUGUUUGAUGGAGAAUAUUUCCACCACCAAAAGACAAUAUAUGAUUUGAUUACUGAUGAGACAAUGUCCAACAAAUCUUAUCAAGACCCAAAGUCUCACAUUUUUGCUGUUAUAGUUUUGAGCUCAGUAUUUUGCGGAAUAAUGUGUUUCUUAUGAGUGUAACAGAUCAUUGUUGGUAUCAAAAAGAUAUUUUCCUGGUCAACAUAGCUGAUAGUUUUGAAAAAAAAUCUGAAGCUUCUGGAAUACCUGUGAUCAAUCAUGUGUGUCGAACUGCUCAACAUUGAUUUUUUAUGUCUAAUUUUAAUGCAUUCUUCUUUAAUAUGUCCAUUGUAAUUUUUAAAUUGUAGUAUUUGUUGUAUUUUAUAGGUUGUGAUUUAGUAAAAUAAAAAAAAACCAAAAGGAAUGAUACAUGUAGCUAUGUUUAACAACAUUACGAGAACUGUCUUUUUCAAAUUUCUUUCGUAGAUAGUUAGAACUCAUAAGAAAUGAAUAUCAUAUACCAAAACAAUUGAAUGGUAUCAAAUCCGAUGUGGUUCACUGGACAAUGUUACUUGCACAUAUAAAUAUGAUAGUAUGACUGCAGCAGUAUUUAUUUUCAGCUUAUGGAAUUCAUUGCUUUAGACAAUUAAUAUUUAGUUUGUUUUUCAAAAGAAACUAUCAAAUACCUUACAUUUUACAUUUAUGUUCGGCAAGUUGCGUUGCAAGUAGGAAUUGUAUUGGUAUGUUUUUAUGUUGAUAACUAUAUGCAGAACAUUACCACAAAUUUCUUUAUAAAUUUACUCAAUGCUUUAAUAGAUACAAAAAAUAUUGUUUCGAUUGUAAGCUGUAGAAAACUUAUUACAAACGAUAUAACGCAUCCAUAACUUUACGGUGAUAUUGUCCAUAGGGCCCUUUAAUGUAGAUGCGAUCCAUGUAAACUUAUUUAUCCUGAUGUAGAGAAUUUCUCGCAAUUUGAUUGGCUGAUAUUUUCCUAAUAAAUUUCAGUACAAUUUUUUAUUACGUCAGUUGGAAUUUUCUCCCUUAUACCAUUGACCUAAUAAAAAUAGUUGCUUUAUAGUCCUAA